This 774-nucleotide ribosomal RNA is filed under the name uncultured Neocallimastigales. RNAcentral describes it as "partial large subunit ribosomal RNA". It matches the Rfam family "Eukaryotic large subunit ribosomal RNA", at positions 18 to 635 of the family's 3401-position model. The record is from RNAcentral. Lineage: Eukaryota; Fungi; Neocallimastigomycota; Neocallimastigomycetes; Neocallimastigales.
UCAGACGAUGCGUCAUGCAUAUCAAUAAGCGGAGGAAAAGAAACUAACAAGGAUUCCCUUAGUAACGGCGAGUGAAGCGGGAAGAGCUCAAAUUUGAAAUCUUCAAGGUUUUACCUUGACGAAUUGUAGUUUAAAGAAGUGUUUUCUGUUGAAGUUUUGGUAAAAGUUCUUUGGAAUAGGACAUCAUAGAGGGUGAGAAUCCCGUAUUUGACCAUUAUUUUCAGCUGUGUGAUACACUUUCAAAGAGUCGGAUUGUUUGGGAAUGCAGUCCAAAAUGGGUGGUAAAUUUCAUCUAAAGCUAAAUAUUGGCGAGAGACCGAUAGCGAACAAGUACCGUGAGGGAAAGAUGAAAAGAACUUUGAAAAGAGAGUUAAACAGUACGUGAAAUUGUCAAAAGGGAAGCGUUUGACACCAGUAUUGUUUUCUCGAAAAUCAAUUAAAAAGAGUUGGAUUUUGUGUUGUAUUGACCUUAACAGCUUGCUUCACUCUUUUCCUGCUUUUUUUAAUGCACUUUUCGUUUAACAAGUCAACAUCAGUUUCUUUUGUUGUAAAAGGGUCAUUGGAAGGUGGCUUUCUCUUCGGAGAAAGUGUUUAUAGCCUUUGAUCUCUGCAAUCGGAGAGACUGAGGUCUGCAGCGUAGAUCCUUCGGGGUUAGAUACAUUUGUGCUAAGCUACAGCUUUUCAUAGACAACUUGUUGACUAUGUUUAGUCUUGUAACUUACCCGCUUAUGCUAUUUUACCUACGCUUAGGAUGUUGAUAUGCAUGACUGAUAU